Molecule: microRNA precursor, 60 nt
Filed under: Tupaia belangeri chinensis (Chinese tree shrew)
Lineage: Eukaryota; Metazoa; Chordata; Mammalia; Scandentia; Tupaiidae
Description: Tupaia chinensis (Chinese tree shrew) microRNA tch-mir-9771h precursor
Source: miRBase by way of RNAcentral
AGGAAAGUCGUGAUGUAUUUUUCUGUUUCUCUAUGCACAGAUGCAUCUCGACUUUCCUGA